UCCUCAUUGAAGAGGAGGUGGCACCGUCCUCAUUAUCGUCACCGAGGGCCGCAGACGUGGUGGAGAAGGCGAUGUGAGUCGAAGAGUAAAAAAAGAACGAGAGAAAAAAAUAGGACGAGCGAGAAAAAUCCAAAAAGGCGAGAAGAGGACGAAUCGUACAGAAAAAGGCGAGGGUGAAAAGAGAGAGAGAGAAAUAAAGAUAUUUUGGUCAGUUUAUUAAAAAUUCAGUAUGAAUCUGUAAAAUCUAAAAAGGCAGACUACUUUUGCAAAAACUCAAAACCGAUGGAUUUUUUGUACAAAUAGGCCUAAUUAUAUUCCUAUAUAAUUAAAACAACUAAAUUAUUUUAUAUAUAUAUAUAUAAAUUAUAAUAAUAUAAUAGUAAAAUUUUAAAGUAAAAGAAAAUAUUAAUAUUUAACUAAUCAAAUUUUAUCAUAUUUUAAAUAUACAAACUAAAAUGAAUGAAAUAUUAAAACUUAACUAAUUAAUUUUUAUUAUAUUUUAAAUAUACAAACUAAAUAAAAAAAUAAUUAGUAUCAUAAAGGCUAAAUUACAGAAACCCGCCUGUCAAUACCUACUUUUUUACUUUCUCUCUCUGUCAUUCAAAAACCUAUACUUUACCUCCUUAAAAAAUAAAAAAUGUUUACUUUGACAACCGCCGUCAGUGUUCUAUCAGGGUUCCGUUUAUAUCCUAUUUUUUGUACCCAAAAUACCCCUAAAAUCCUCCUCAUUCCUCAUCCUCGGCCGCGCCACCUCGCCCUCCGCCGUCUCGCCCUUGUCCAUCUCUGUGUCCAUGCCCACACCUGCCCUCGCCGCCUCACCAUCGCCCUCGCCAACCUCUCCGUCGAUGCCUACCGCGAAAAAGAUGAGUGGCAAUAUGGUUAUUUUGUCAGUGUACCUCCCUAUGAAUAUUUUUUGUUUUUUAAGGGGAUAAAGUGUAGGUUUUUGAUAGGGGAGUUUUUUGUAAUUUAGCCUAUCAUAAAUAAGUAUAUUUAAUAUAACUAGCAUUAUGCAUUGUCUUAUUUUAUUUUUUUUUUCUUGACCUCUCUUCAUCGUAAUUGACUUCGGUUCAGGACAGGCCGAAAUUAAUUAUGCUGUUUUAGGUAACUCGAGUUUUGACCGUAUCUUUGUUAUGACGAACUAACUAACAGAAGUAAUCAUUUAUGGCCGAAAACGACUUCAUCCUUCUCCAUUUUCACCCAAACAAACAGGUCAUUAGUGUAAGUGAAGGGCUGGAACUCAAGUUCCAUCUUUGGUGUUUAUUUUGUUGUAAGUCAAAAAAAUUAUAUAACUCAAGUUAUGUUAGACCUCUUCUUCACCUAUUCUUGACUUCCCUAUCUAGAGUACUAAACUGAUCAAGUUCCACGACACUCAACUUUUUCUAAAAAAAUUAUUAAAUAUUAAAAUCUAAACUCUACUUCUAAAAUCCUUUAGAAUGGGUUAGAGUUUUUCUUUUAUAAUGGAUUAAGAUUACUUUCAAACAAUAAUGGAGGAUUUAAUUAUUUACAGGUUGGAUUUUGUAGGGAUAAGUUUACCAUUAUAUACGAGAUAAUGGGAUUCACUUACACCAAAACAAACAAUGGAACUCAAAAAACUAAUUUCACCAGCAUUAAGUUAAACCAAAAUAAACAGAAAAAGUGAUUGAAUUUAAUUUUCAGACUGUAUGAGUUACAUCAAAAUAAAAAAAAAAUCACACUUUAGAAAAACUCAAACAACACUACAUUUGAAUUACGUUGGUUCAAGAAAUCCGUCAAUCCAAAUACCCCCAUAAUCAUACAACUCGUCUCAUCCAAACUCUUUCCUUUCCCCAACUACAGGUCUUAUUAUCUUUUAACUAUACUAUUUGACACCUCCUACAAACGCCACGUGGCAUGCCUCCUUAUUCUCCAUUCCACAUGGCGACCAACCCUCUCACCCCCACCUCUACAGAGCCUCUCUCUUUUCUCAACUCACAUCCAGCUGGCAUUCUCUCUCUUCAACUACUGCACUCUCUCUCUUCCUUCCUACAGAUAAUUCUUUCUAUCUCUUCCUCUCUCUCUCCUCUCCUCUCUCUCUUCCUCUCUUAAGAUGGGCCCCUCUCUCUUUCCAGCUGGCCUGCUCUUUCUCUUUCUCCUCCUCUCCCUUUCUCUCUCUCUCUCUCUCUCUCUCUCUCUCUCUCUCUUCUCCUCUUUUCUCUAUAUCUUAGCCUUCCCUCUCUCUCCUCUCUUCUCACAGGGUACCUGGGCAGCAACAGCAGUGGCAAUGGCUUGGGCGGCAACAGCGGCGGCUGCGGCGGCAGUUUGAGCGGCAUCAACGGCAGUCGCCUUGCGUCGACCUCAUCUCGCCAUCGAGGGAUCUUAGAGCUUUUUAAAAUUACUGUGAAUAUCUCAUAUACCCUAAAAAAAAAUUAAAUUAAAAAAAUAUAAAAAAAGACUUCUGCACCUCGACCUCAUCUCGCCAUCGAGGGAUCUUAGAGCUUUUUAAAAUUACCGUGAACAUCUCAUAUACCCUAAAAAAAAAAUAAAUUAAAAAAAAAAGACUUCUGCAGGAGACGUUGCGGAGGGUGUCGCCGCGGGUCCGGUAGCGGUGGCAGGUCUUGCAGAAAUAGCGCGGCUGCGAGAGGGAGUAGUUGUCGAAGUAGCAGGACUUGGUGUUGGUCGAGUCGUAGCGCGGGCACUUGAGCGCCGUGUCACGGACUUAACGAAUUUGCUCGCAAAAGCCCGUGCGGCGCUCGCCUUCCUUCGCGAAGUGAGCAAGCCUGCCUCUCUACUUGCUAAGUUAGGACCUCACUCGCCCUAGACUAAGUACAAGAGAGAUAUAAAGAAAGCUCUUCUAUUACUUUGAACUUGUGAAUACAAUAUGAGAUUCUGAAAUGAGAGGGGGUGGAGGACACACUAUUUAUAGGCCACUCGCCGCCCAUAAUGCCAAUGAAAAGGUGCCAAGUGGCACAAUACUACUAGCCAAAAGGGGAGGCCAUGCGGUCUCCUAAGAGUCCUAAUAAAUAGCAUAUAAACUCGAAGAGUCAUACAUUUAUUGACUACCUAGAAACUCUAAGGGACUCUUAACCCUCCGGUAUCCGCACCGUCAGUCUCGAGAUCCGCGUAGAAGCUUUUAGAUGAUUCCAAGCCAAAACCUCCAUCAGAUGUCUGCUUUGGAGUUUGGGUGAUUGCAAUGCGAAAUCGCGGAGAAAAUCUUUAUGUCCUGACAACCUCCCCCACCUAUUGCGCAGACGCCCUCGUCGCGCGCUGGUGUUGGAAGUCAUCGAUUAGCUUCUGAUACUUCCAGAGUGUGUCAGCCUUCUCCGAGCUUGCCUCGCCAUGCGGGAGAUUCUUUCACUUGACAAGGUACUCCACGCUCCUCGGGACUCCGCGACGCCGAAUGGUGCGAGUGUCCAACAAGGCUUCGACGUCCUUGUCGAUUGCAGUGGUCAUAGUGGCGGGAGCGCGUUGCGACGCGCCCCGGCUCGGGUCCUCAUCGUCUUCAUGGUAGGGCCGUAGGCAGCUAGCAUGAAAGAGAGGAUGAAUCUUCAGGUUGGCGGGGAGUUGCAGUUUGUAGGCUGCCUUGCCUGCUCGCUUGAUGACAGUGAAAGGCCCCUCAUACUUUCGCAAAAGCCUAUGGUGUACCUUGCGAAAAGCCUUGAACUGUUUUGGUUGCAGCUUGAUCAACACUCGAUCUCCCUCGGCAAACUCCAAGGGUCGCCGCUUUGCAUCGGCCCACUUUUUCAUUCGGCGGGCCGCCUUCUCGAGAUAGGCUCUCGCAAUGUCCCCUUUCUCCUGCAAAUGAGAAGUGAAUUGGAGAGCCAUUGGGCUGCGGCCCUGCUCGCCUGCAGCAGCAGAAUGCGGAGUGAGUGGUUGCCUCCCCGUUGCCAGCUCGAACGGGCUAAGGUUUGUUGACUCGCUCCGCCGCAAGUUGUAGGAGAACUAGGCCACGUCCAGAUGAUGCACCCAGUCCUUCUGGUUGGCACUGACAUAGUGCCGCAAGUACUCCUCCAGUAGGGCAUUCACCCGCUCCGUCUGGCCGUCCGUCUGCGGGUGAAAACUGGUGGAAAAGAGCAACUCCGACCCCAAGAUCCGGAACACCUCUGUCCAGAACUUGCCCGUGAACCUAGGGUCGCGGUCACUCACAAUGCUUUCGGGGACGCCCCAAAGCUUCACCACAUUGCUGACGAAGAGCCGCGCCAUUUCUUCCGCCGUGCAAUCCGCUAGUGCCGCGAUGAAAGUCCCGUACUUGGAGAAUCGGUGCACCACUACGAGGAUGGACCCCAACGUCCCCACCUUGGGCAAGGCGGAGAUGAAGUCCAUGGAAAUGCUCUCCUACGGACGCGUCGGUGUAGGCAGGGGCUCGAGGAGGCCCCCAGGAUUCUGGCGUUCCACCUUGUCUUGCUGGCACACAAGGCAAGUCCGCACGUACGCCUCCACGUCGUCGUGCAUGCGAGGCCAAUAGUAGGCGGCCUCGAGUAGCGCCAUCGUCCGCUUCUGUCUUGGAUGUCCGGCCCAAUUGGAGUCAUGACAUUCCUUCAUGAGCUCGCGACGAAGAUUGCCCCAUCUGGGCACAUAGACGUGCCGCCCCUUGGUGAGGAGCAGCCCAUCGCUAAGCCAGAACCGCUACGCCUUGCCCUCCUUGACGAGUCGCACGAGUCCUUGGGCCACAGGUUCCUCGCAAGUCCCUUCGCAGAUUCGCUCCCUGAUCGCGCCUUGGAGGUGGCACACCGCUGCCAACUCGGCUUUGCGGCUGAGUGCGUCAGCCACUUGGUUGUCAAUCCCGGGUUUGUACAUGAGCUCCAUGUUGAACUCCGCCAGGAAGUCCUGCCACCUCGCCUGCUUGGGUGACAGCUUCUUCUGAGUGAGGAAGUAGCUCGUCGCGACAUUGUCCGUCCGCACAACGAACUUGCUUCCAAGGAGAUAGUGCCGCCAAGUCCUGAGGCAGUGCACUACGGCAGUCAUCUCCUUCUCUUGCACCGUGUAUUGCCGCACGGUGUCGUUGAGCUUGCGGCUCUCGUAGGCGAUGGGGUGUCUGUCCUGCACGAGAACACCACCAAUGGCAAAGUUUGAGGCAUCAGUAUGUACCUCGAAUGGACGGCUGCAGUCGGGAAGCCGCAACAUCGGAUCCUCUGUCACCGCCCGCUUUAAGUCCUCGAAUGCCUCCGCGCAUCGAGGGGUCCAGUCCCAUGACUGGGUCUUCUUCAGUAAAUCCGUCAGCGGGGCUGCUUGAGUAGAGUAGCCCGCGAUGAAACGGCGAUAGUAGUUGACGAGUUUGAGAAAGGAUCGCAGCUCGGACACCGUCGUGGGCGCCUGCCACUCGCAGAUCGCUCGCACUUUCUGCUUGUCCAUGUGGAGUUGUCCUCGGCCGAUCCAGUGGCCAAGGAAGUGCACCUCCUCAUUCGCAAAGGAGCACUUCUCCCUCUUGACAUAGAGUUAGUUUUCCCGCAGCACUUGGAAGAUCGUCCGCAGAUGCUCGACGUGCUCCUCCAAAGUGUUGCUGUACACGACGAUGUCGUCGAGGUACACUACCAUGAAGCGGUCGAGGUACGGGUGGAAUCGCUUGUUCAUCAGGGUGCAGAAGGUUGCCGACGCAUUCGUCAGGCCGAAUGGCAUGACGAGGAACUCGUAGGCUCCAUACCUCGUCACGCAAGCCGUUUUCUCCUCAUCGCCCUCCGCGAUCCUGACUUGGUAGUACCCCAAGCGAAGGUCCAAUUUGGUGAAGAACUUUGCUCCGCCAAGCUGGUCAAACAAGUCAGCAACAAAGGGAAUAGGGUAAUUGUUCUUUACCGUUACUUUGUUGAGCGCUCUGUAGUCAAUGCAGAGCCGCAGGCUUCCGUCGCUCUUUCUUUGGAACAAGACUGGUGCUCUGUAGGGUGCCUUCGACGGCCUGAUGAAGCCCGUAUCGAGGAGGUCCUUCAGUUGACGUUGCAACUCCUCGAGCUUUGGUGGGGCCAUGCGGUAUGGUGCCUUUGCUGGUGGCUUUGCUCCUAGCUCGAGCUUGAUCGCAUGGUCCACCUCCCGCCUGGGUGGAAGUCUCUUGGGCAACUCCUGGGGCAUGAUGUCCUUGAACUCCCCCAGGACUGCAUUGAUCAUCGCUGGAGGGCCCUCCUCCUCGAGGUCCUCUUCGCUCACCUCGUGGAUGGCCGCAAGGUAAGUGAUUUCGCCGCGCUUCACCCCCUUCCGCAAUUGCAGAGCGGAGAGGGUGUGGGUUGCCACUGGCUCGCCGCGGCUCGCCAAGACCAUGCAUGGGGCCGUCUCCUCCAUGAUGCUCAAGCCCCCAAGAUGCGGCAUUGGAACCGCCUUCGAUGAAGCGAGAAAGUCGAUGCCGAGAAUGACUUUGAAGUCGUUGAUGGUCGCGGCGGUGACGUUAGCUGUACCCGACCAGGGUCCUACAGCGAUCAUCACCCCUUUGGCUACUCCUACGAUAGGCUGUGCCAUCAAGUUGACAGCCUUGAUCUUGCUCGUGUCCUUCUCGAGUGUGAGGCCCAGCCGUUUGGCCUUAGACUCAGCGAUGAAGUUGUGGGUCACUCCAGUGUCCGCGAGCGCACGAGUGGCUCUCCCGUUGAGGGUCACGUCCACGAACAGCAGCUCCUUCUUGAGCGGUUUGCUGCUUGCCUGCUCCUGCAUCGCGCUGACGAGUCGUAGCGUGCCCAUCUUCGUCUCCGCUUGUUCCUCGCCCUCCUCGGCUUGGAUGGCGUUGACGGUCUUCUUCUUUGGGCAAUCUCUCGCCCAGUGAUCACCCCCGCAGACAUAGCAAGAGAUCGUCUUCUUCUUCUGCGAAAGGCCCUUUCGCUCUUGGCCCUUUUGAUCACGUUGCUCGCGACGGUCUCCCCCACCCUUGGCCUUGCCCGCCUUAGAUGGUUUGGCAUGAGCGAAGUCCGGCUUGUCAUACUCCAGUAGCUUCUCCGCUUGAGCGAUAGCGGAGCUUACAUCUUUGACGUCUCUCGCCACGAGCUCCUUGUUAGCCCAUGGUUGGAGACCGUCGAGGAAGAAGAACAGCCGAUCCUCCUCGGCCAUGCUUGUGAUGGCAAGCAUCAGCUUGGAGUACUCCUUGACAUACUCCUUGAGGGAUCCUGUAUGCUUGAGCCGUCGAAGUUGCCUCCGCGCCAGGUAUUCGACGUGCUCGGGGUGGAACUGUGCCUUCAGUUCGCGCACGAAGUCUUCCCAAGAAUCCAGUUUGCAUUGGCCCUUCUCGGCCUCUGCAGAACGCCGACGCCACCACAGCAUCGCAUCGUCGGUGAGGUACAUGGAAGCGGUCUGGACCUUGUCCUCCUCGUUCUCCAUCUUUAGCGCCUUGAGGUAGUGCUCCAUGUGCCAAAGGAAAUUGUCUAUUUCCUUCUCGUCGCGUGCGCCCUUGAAACAUUGGGGUUCAGGAACGUGUACCUUCGGGGUGUACUUUUUCUGCGUCUCGACGCCUCGAGCCACUGCCUUCUCAAGGAUAGUCACUCUCUUCUUGAGGUCCUCGACCUCGUCGACUCGAGUAACUAGCUCCUCAAUCAACUUUGUCCGCUCCUCGUCACGACGGGUGAUGUUGCCUUGGAGCUUCUCAAUCACGCUUCGAAAGGUUGCCAUGGCAGUGGCGACACUCUCCUCCAUACUGCGAACAUCAUCAUUAAAGGCGUUAAAGGUAUCGGCCAUCUCGGUGUACCUUUCACCCACCUUCGAUAGAAUGUUCUCCAACAGUGCAAGGCGUUCCUCCACAGAUGCGGAAUCCUUCGUGAGUCGCAUCUCCUUGCCCUUGCUCCGCUUGGAGGGUUGCUUUGGGGGACCUCCCCCAACGUCGACAAUUUCGGCAUCGGAUGACGACAUGGCUCCUUCUCGAACCGGCUCUGACACCAACUGUCACAGACUGAACGGUUUGGUUAGCAAAAUCCGUGCGGCGGUCGCCUUCCUUCGCGAAGUGAGCAAGCCUGCCCCUCUACUUGCUAAGUUAGGACCUCACUCGCCCUAGACUAAGUACAAGAGAGAUAUGAAGAAAGCUCUUCUAUUACUUUGAACUUGAGAAUACAAUAUGAGAUUCUGAAAUGAGAGGGGGUGGAGGCCACACUAUUUAUAGGCCACUCGCCGCCCAUAAUGCCAAUGAAAAGGUGCCAAGUGGCACAACACUACUAGCCAAAAGGGGAGGCCACGAGGUCUCCCAAGAGUCCUAAUAAAUAGCAUAGAAACUCGAAGAGUCAUACAUUUAUUGACUACCUAGAAACUCUAAGGGACUCUUGACUCUCCGGUAUCCGCACCGUCAGUCUCGAGAUCCGCGUAGAAGCUUUUAGAAGAUUCCAAGCCAAAACCUCCAUCAGAUGUCCGCUUUGGAGUUUGAGUGAUUGCAAAGCGAAAUCGCGGAGAAAAUCUUUAUGUCGUGACAGCCAGCUUCGGCUACGGAAUCUUUGCGAGACGGGCGCGGUCCGCCAUCGAGCCAGGCCGGGCAGGGCCGCCGGCUGCAGCUGCCAUGCUUGGGGCCUCAGGGCGCGGCGCAACCUGCGGACCCGGUGGGAGCGGAACUGAAGAAAAAACCAUAGUGUUUUUCUUUUCUUUUUUCCCCUUAGCUUCUUCCUCUUUCUGAUUAGAUUCUUUCACAGGGUUAUGGUGGAGAGAUGGUGGAGAAUCACAUCCAUAAGCAGUUCCUUUGAGAGAGAUAGAGAGAGAGAGAGGAAGGAGUGUGAAGAGAAAAGGAGGAUUUCUUUUUUUUUAUUCUAUUUAAAAAAGCAGUUCUUUUUUUUAUUCUACUUAAAAGUUCUGUAAUUAAGUUGGAGCUCACCAUUAGGUAGAGGGCUUAGAGGCACCCGGCGGCGUCGCGUGCAGCUUCGCGGACUGAGGAGUCUGAGGGGAGGUCUCUGACGCGCUUGACGAGGUGGGCGACGAUCCUGGGGAUGUGUUUGGCGGCGGCGCCAGGGUGGGCGGCGCAGUGGGCGGUGAGGAGGAGGAGGGAUUCGCGGCGCGCGGCGGCGGAGGGGAGCGGCGCGGAGGGGUCGUGGGCGAGGUCGGCGACGAGCAUGGGCACACCCUCGGGGCUUCACAACUUAUCUGUUUUUAUUUUUUUUAUUUCUGAUAUUAUGUUUUUUUUUUUAUUAUUAUUUACUCAAUAGAAAGUUCAAAAUAUCUUUUUUUUUAUAAUAAAAAAUAUUAUUAUCUAGGUAAACUUCUGAUUAUUUUUUUUACUCUAAUUUUUAUUCUCUUUUUUCACAAUUUUUCUAGAGCAUAUGACCCAUUUUUACUUUAUUUAAUCAUAUUUUUUCUUAACCAUACUGUAAAAAUAUAAUAUCUAGGUGAAUCUCUUUUUGUUAAAUAGAAAAUAAUCACAUGCUCCACAACUUCUUUUGUGACAUGUAUUCUUUUUUUUAUCUUGUUAAAAAAAAAAACACAACAUUUAGAUAAACUUUACUUUUUUUUAACUAUAAAUUUUUUUUAUUUUAUAUUUCUACUUAACUGUUUCAUUAUAAUUGUACUUAACUAUGAUAUAAAAUUAAUCGUUAACCGCAGCGAAGCGCGGGUUCUAUACUAGUUAUUAAUAAUAUUUUACUAAAAUUUUAAAAAGGGCUUGUAAACUUCACAACACUUUGCAUAAGGGUAGAGGUGUAAAACUGUCAUGCCUCGGGUCUCCAUUUUUCUCGAGCUCGCCAAUAGAUCUGCCGUAUACAUAAAAUUUUUUUAUGUAUACGAAGCGAUAGCUGAACCUGCAACAUAUAAGUACAACUACAAGAGAGUAACAGAGCUAAUAAAAUAGAAAUACAUAUAUAAGACCAACUGUACAAAUUAAAUAAGAGGUACAAACUCAGCUCCUCACUCUACAGUAUCUACAACUAUAUGUACAUUGCUACAAAAAGAAACUAUCUCCAAAAGGGUGCUCCUCUAGCAUGAUGACCGGGGUGGACGGGAAUUUAACUCGCAACUUCCUUGCCUCAAUCAGAUGCGGCAGCGUCAGCGACAGUCGAAGGCUCUGCAAAAAGAAUAAUAACAGUGAGUGUGAACAACUAUUAAGCUAGUAGUACUCAGUGGGUACGUCACCAACCUCAAUGGCCUACCUACUAAGUCUAUGAGACAAUAGUAAAGCUAGCAGGUAAAAGAAACAGUGAAUACUACAAAAAAUCUUGCAUUAAGGACACUUUAUAUAAUAAUUAGCGAUGCUUUAAAGUGUCGGCAAAAAUAAUCCUGACACUUGUAAAAGCGUCGAGCAAAGAGUCAUUAAAUAAACAUGUCGGGAUAAAUAUACCAACGUUUUAAUAUAGCGUCGGAAAAUUUUUAUAAAUAUUUGAUAAAAAUAUGUUUAUUGGCGAUGCUUAAUCAUAGUGUCAGCAAAUGCAAAAUAUUAAAGACGCCAGAAUAAAGCGUCGUUUAAAAAGCGUCGUCUAAAACAUAUUUUGUUGUAGUAAGCUGAAAGAAACUCUACAGCUAUUAUGUCACUAUACAACCUCUAGUCAUAUCAUGUUCUCUGUAUAUCCAUGCAUCACAAACUAAAAAAUAACUAUCUCAAACCCAAUCCAACAGAGACUGUCUGUACGGCCCGUUCAACCUGUGCCUAAGCUACACCGCACACCACCCUCGAGGUGGCCGGUCCGAGUAACAUGUCCAAAGAGGACAGCUGCGAUAUCAACGCGAGAAAGACAGACUCCGAAGCGGCACUCGUGAGUGCAACCUAACCGAGUAUGCAAGCGCGUCUCUAUUGAGCUCAAGUAGGCUCACAGGCUAUAAUCAAAGCGGAUUGUCAAUAAAUGAAGGAAUCAAAGCUCACGUGCCCUCGGUACAAUCAGAUGCAAUAAGUAUAGAUUUGGGUCCAUCGUCAAUCCCGACAGCACCCGUCAGUACGGAAUAGCCUAAACUAUGCUAUAAAAAUGAGGUUAGCAUCUCAGCACGAGCGAAAUCUCAGCCUACACUAGUCUAAGUAUUCACGACGCACUAAUCGCGGUGAUACAGAAGAGAAAUCAUGUCAUGCCCCAGGAUCUUUUGACAAAUCCUCUUUAAGAAAAGCAAGCGAAAACGUGUUGGUUUUGUGACUCUUGUACUUGAUGACCUACACGGUCGGCAUACCCUAAGGGGUAGGAAUGUCGGCUAGUUGCCGAUGGUUGGCUAUUGAGUAUAUCAGUAUCGAUCGCCACUGCUCGUACGCAUUUCACGAACACCAGGGGUUUGAUCCACCGCAAAGGGGUGUUCUUUUCUGGAAAAGUGGUUAGGAGUGUCAGCCCGUGGGCCCAGGAACUUAUGCUAGGGUUAUAUGCAGGUUAGAGUGGUAGUGGCACAGGACUGAGGUCUUUGGACCGACAUGGCGGUUACUGCAUUGGAUAUUUUGGGACUGAACGUCCGGUUGAUACAUUCAUAUACAGUAGCUGUCACGCCCCACGACCCGCCAAUUUGGUCGGAUCCGGGCACGUCGAUCAGAUGCCGAACGGAUAGCACCUCCCCUGUUCGCCCAAGGCUCAACAAUAGCAAUCAUGUACAAGAGUCUGCCCAGGAAAAACUCUAACAACAUACAUGAUCAAUGCGAAGCACCACAAGUGCUAUACAAUUAAGAGCAAGAAUCACAAGUAACAUACAAUGAAAUAAAGAGAGAUACAUCUAGCUAUUACAUCCGCACGGCAUUCAACAUGUAGAUCCUUGAUUACAUUUACAUCUCCAACAUGAAUAUACAUGGUGAUCUCCAAAAUACAUAAGAAACUCCCAAAAUACAUACAUCACUAGCAACCUCACCAUCAAAAUACAUAAGUCACUCGAACCAUAAUACAUAACCUCUCAAAAUGGUACCCGACUCUAAUGCACAUAGAAGUAACUAGCUAGCUAGGGCACUAUGGCCUUACCAUGGUCCUCUGCCGGUACACUCUCGCUAGGCCCUGCAACAAAAUAGGGUGAGAACUAUAUAAAUAUAGUUUCCAGUGGGUUCGGCCGCCGACACAGCCGAUCUUCCCACUAGGUCCAAGUAGGUACAAGCAGAUAGAUAGAUAGAUAGAUAUGAAAUUGAAGUGUAACAUAGUAAAGUAAUCUGCAACAUUCUACUAUGCCGUCAAUAACCAAUGGAAUGAGCUACAACAUAGUAUAUGAUCUAUGCAUCAAUAAUUCAUUGUAUGAGCAACUACAUAGUAUGCAAUCUACACAUGCUACUAUGUCUCAAAUGUCAAAUGGAUGAGCUACUACAUAGUAAUGUAUCCUGCAACAUGCUACUAUGCCUCAAAUAUCCAAGUACCAUAUCCAAGUGAAAUGCAUAAGCUACUACAUAGUAUACAUUCUACACAUGAUACUAUGACUCAAUAAUCAAAUGUAUGAACGAGCUACUACAUAGUGCGUCGUGCAACUAUACCUCGAUAAUCAGAAUGAACGACCCACUACAUAGUGCGUCGUGCAACCAUGUCUCGAUAGUAUCCAAUCUCAUGGCCAACCUGAAGGUUGCUACCCCGACUUACAUCUCAAAUCUCGGUAGUGGGGAGACUCUAUGCUACACCCACCCAAGACCCGUCUACGGGACAACUACGUCUGUCCCAACACGACUACUACUCCGGAGCUCACUACUUGGGUGGAACGACCACGCCAAGGUUAUACAGACUAUGUGAGUAUGAUCCAAUCUCUACACUGGAGGAUACCCUAUCUAUUAGGGCCACAAUGCCUCAACUGCACUAAUGCCAAAUGCAUAAUGUCCACAACAUGACAAUCGGGAAAAAUCUACUAUCCUUAGGUUUAAAUGCCAUAGUGUUCCACUACACUAGAUUUGAUGCCACUCAUUUAUGCCAUGAUGUUGUAUGUGUCUCAAUACACUAGAUCGACAUGCCACUCGUCCAUAUUAUAGUGUCUCUAUUACACUAGUCCAAAUGCCACUCAUCUAGGCCAUUUACAUGUCCAAGUUCAUCAUCAUUUUGUCACUAGGAUUCUUGUCACAAGACCCAAUCCUCAUGCAACCUAAGAUCAAGUGUCAAGCCCACAAUGUUACACAACCUAGGUAACAUGCAAGGAAUGGAAAUCCAAUCAUCUACUAAUCCUAUAAUGCACAAUGUAUCAACAUAUGAGAAUAAGAUCAAAUACAUAGAACUUAGACAUAAAAGGAAACCCGGUUGCUUCGGGAUAGACACCCCCCACCUUUAGGUGAUGUCACGAUGCUACGAUUUCGGUUUCGUGAUUUUUGGAAGCUUAUGCCGCGAGCUACGGCAAUCUGUACCGAAAUCGGCCUUUUCUUCAAUAUCUUCACGUAGGCUCGACGAAUCGCCAAACCGACUUCACCAACGCAUUCAUAUACCUAGCAAUUAGGUUUGUAUAGGGUUAAUUUAGAUCAAACCCCACUAGUGAGCAAAACCCCAUUUUUGUAGCCCUAAAACCCCAUUAUUGCAAAGUGCUUCAUCUAGCUCAUUACUCUUGCAAUAAAUGGAAAUAGCCACAUCUAGGGGUCCAUUAAAUUCCACUCCUUGGGUUUAUAAAUCCAUCCUUAGCAUUCUACCAUGAGAGGGGUUCAAGAGCUUACCUCUACAAGCUAUUCCUCCCAAGCUAAGGAAGAAGAAGGUGAUGAUGCUCCAUCUCAAAGCUCUAGUCUCCUUUUUUCUCCUCCUCUUGCCUUCCUCCUUGAAGAAAGAGAGAGAGAGAGAAACACCUUAGAGAGAGAGAGAGAGAGAGAGUUUAGGGUUGAUGGAAUGAGAGAAAAUGAGAGAGACAUCCCUCAUAUAACUCCCCCUUAUAGCCAAAUUGCCAAAAGCCCCCUAAACUAUGCAAACUGCUCUAAACUGGGUAUUUUCGGGUCUCGGGGACCGGUCCUUGGCUUGAGGGACCGGACCUCGUAGGUCCAAAAAUUCUGCAUUUCCAAACUUAGCUAAAAUUUCAGCCUUUUCGCCAAUUUUGGUAUGUUUUCGCUCAUUUUCACUCCGUGGGUCUCCGAUUCAUUUCAAAUCGAACCGAGGCUCUCAAAACAUGUUUUCAAGCGCGUUUACAUCAUAUUUUCAUCCACGCUAAUGCCGGAUUUAGUCCAUGGUCCAACAUAGCCUUUCGGGUCCCGUUUUCGCCCCUACGCGCUCCGAAAAAGCCUGAAUGCUUCCGAACUUCACCGAAACAUUCUAAUGGCUUUCCAAACCAACAUAUCCCGUAACUUCAUAACUUUAGAAGUUCGGUAUGUUACACAUUGAGGUUCUCAUUCCUUACCUCCUCCCCUCCUUAAAAAGAGUUUCGUCCUCGAAACUCAAAUCACUCAUCCAUUCGAGUUAUCGAGCGACAGAGGGUAUUAAUGCACUUUUCCACUCCGGAGUGGCCUUCCUCUUGUCGGAACUAUCCAAAGGCCCAUUAUGGAGGAUGUGAGACCAAACUCACUCACUUUUGCCAAAUGCAACACUAAAAGUGCAUUACGGCUCCGUGCCCUUGGUGGCAGCGUAAGUCGAUACUUAAUGACUCUACACGCUUCAACACCACUCGCAGACCAACAUGCAAAGGACUUCUCUUUGCAUUUCACACCCCAAUCAGGGAACACACUCCGAUUCUAUCACCGGCAUUGCCUAGAAGCAAUAUCAUUGGUGCAUCGACCAAUCGCGAGUGCUACUAUCAUAAUCGGAUCUUUCCUCUACUACGAGAUGGCACAAUUCUCAAGAGAGCAUCAUCCGCAAUCUCACGUGGCUAUCCGGUAUUCAAGUGUCUCCAAGAGACCACUUUACUUUCUCUUUCAAUCGCCACGACCAAUAUCAAAUCGCUCUACAACGAGCUCACAUGAACAUUCUGUUCGCGAAUCCAAGCCAAACUCCUCGACAGAGUUAUUGGCCAAACCGAUUACCUCGGUUUCCAUGGGUGGACCAACAGUCACCAACUCUACAUAGGCCUAUAGCCUAAACCUGUCGUGAUACUCGUAACGUCUCUCGCUCGCAAGCGUAGACCCAAUCAUAACUGGGCGAAAUUCUCACUUGGGAAUUGGCACACACUCCUACCAGGAGCAACCAUAACCCCAAACCUCAUCAAACCUCAGGUUGGGUCACUACACACUCGGUGUAUCCUCGAUAUCGCGAUCCAACAGGUGGCAUUCCACGUUCCCGGGUCUAAGCUCGAACUACCGUCCUCACCAAAACUCUGCCCUACUCGCAGGUACCGAGCCGCUGUCAAUCACAGCUGACUGCGCCUGUCCAUUGGGCCCAGGCUCCACAGUCCACAAAUGGUCCAGGCACGGGUCGUCCCCAAGCAACACUCGCCGUCGUCGUCCUACACAACACGCUCUACCGAGCCACAUGCACUACCACCGGCUCCUAUGCACCUAGUACGAGCCAGUAGCCCUACGAGUGAUCCAUGACCCACUUCACACUUAGCCAUACUGAAGUGCUACUGCCAUCUCACUCUCCUUCGGCUGAAUCAAAUCUGCACUCCACGAGUAUCUAUACUCGCGCGCUCUACGCCUCUACAGCGUUCCACACGAAGCCCAGCAUUAGGCAACCUUGCCCAUGCACACAGGUUACACAAGCACGACUCACCUACCUCAAUUCGAGGUACUACCAGGCCCACGCGCCUGUACCCGGCAACUAAUUGGCUACUCUCUCAACAGUGAUUCUACUUUCACUGUUCGAUCUACCGAAACAACAUUCGUAACACUCGGACUACUCGGGUAUCCACAAGUAUCAUGGCUCAACUCUCGCAAUCUACUGAUCACAUUGCCUUGAGAGUCGCUUCACCAUUUCCUCUCUAUCACGAGUCUCAUCUCUUGUCCAAGAACCACCACUAGCAAUUUGCUAGUGCCAUCUAGCUCUCUACCUGCUCCAGCAGACACUACACUCUCACACGGAAGCAUGCCCAGGUAUUUUUACCUACCCGUCCACUGGUCCCUACUAUACUGAUGCAUAAAUAGUAGCAACAGACCAUAACAAUGCAUGCAAUGUUCCUCGACCUGGGUCGCGCCCUCAUGGCCACUCGGCACACGCCGUGGACCCUUCGAUCCGCCAUGUCCUCAUAACUCACUCUCCCGACCAUGCUAUAGGUGGCACACCCGCAGGCUAUCUCGGAGAGGAGAAGGCAGUCGCCAACGCCAAGGUCCGGUCUUCCCCUCAGCGGCGCUCAUCUUGCCCAUGGCCCGGCCGCCCACAAUGCCCAAUCCAUGACUUCGGCAAAAGUUUGCAACUUAAGAGUAUGCACAACUUUGGAAAUCUCCGGCCAAAGUCCUCGUACAAGCGAUCAGCUUGAUCCUGUCAUCCCGCACCACAUUCGGGACACAACUCACGAUACGGGAGAACUCCUGCUCGCACUAAGUAUAGAUCCUCAAACAGAGUUUCGAUGGAAUCAAUCCACAACUCCACAAUCCACGGAUCUACAUCCUCUCCAUCAAAGGUAGGCGGAUCAAAUUCCUUGAAAAUCAUGAGGGCCGCCAAAGCUCGCUCCCUCACCGCCUCCACCUUUGAAGUGUUAGAAAUCGGAUUGCCCGACUCUGACAGAAACACCUCUGUCGCGACUCCCAGCCAUACUCGACGAGCCAAAACUGGUGCGGUCACCAAUCGACCAACCGUUUCUUGGAGUCUCUUAAUCCGCUCCUCCUGGCGCACGACAGCCUCUUGCUGUCGUUGCACCAAUUCGACUCAUUGCCUUGCCACUCCUAUGAGUGGCGAGCCGCUCGUGAAGUCCUAAGUCUUCGCUUGCCUCGGACUGCUCAAGGACAUCACUUGUCCUAUCCCGUGCCGAUCUAGACGAAGAUCGCCUACGCGGUACCAUCGUCGAUCUCCUAAACCGCAACAACACAGUUGGUCUCGACCCUCAAGGUCGAACACGUAACAACUAACAUUGACUCGACUCAAAUCAGGCGAAAGUCAUACAAGGGUGCCUAUUCUCAUCACUCGGUUUCAUGUUGUAUGCAUCCGACAUGAACACCCUCUGUCGAGAAUAAACUGAACCUUGAAUCCACCUCUAACAUCCGUCUUAGAGGUUUACUAACUUGACCUAAUCGAUCAAUCUUUCGCCACAACGCAUAGGUUCACGUCACUCACGCACAUAUGGCCUUAUGGUUUACCAACCUAGGGUCUCCUAGGUCAAUCCUAGACUCUCUCUUUAUUUGCUCUUAACUUGCUCUGAUACCAUUUUAUCUGUCACGCCCCGUGACCCGCCAAUUUGGUCAGAUCCGCGCACGUCGAUCAGACGCCGAACGGAUAGCACCUUCCCUGUCUGCCCAAGGCUCAACAAUAGCAAUCAUGUACAAGAGUCUGCCCAGGAAAAACUCUAACAACAUACAUGAUCAAUGCAAAGCGCCACAAGUGCUAUAUAAUUAAGAGCAAGAAUCACAAGUAACAUACAAGUGAAAUAAAGAGAGAUACAUCUAGCUAUUACAUCCGCAAGGCAUUCAACAUUUAGUCCUUGAUUACAUUUACAUCUCCAACAUGAAUAUACAUGGUGAUCUCCAAAAUACAUAAGCAACUCCCAAAAUACAUACAUCACUAGCAACCUCACCAUCAAAGUACAUAAGUCACUCGAACCGUAACACAUAACCUCUCAAAAUGGUACCCGACUCUAAUGCACAUAGGAGGUAACUAGCUAGCUAGGGCACUAUGCCCUUAUCACGGUCCUCUGCCGGUACACUCUCGCUAGGCCCUGCAACAAAGUGGGGUGAGAACUAUAUAAAUAUAGUUCCCAGUGGGUUCGGCCACCGACACAGCCGAUCUUCCCACUAGGUCCAAGCAGGCACAAGCAGAUAGAUAGAUAGAUAGAUAUGAGAUUGAAGUGCAACAUAGUAAAGUAAUCUGCAACAUUCUACUAUGCCUUCAGUAACCAAUGGAAUGAGCUACAACAUAGUAUAAGAUCUAUGCUUCAAUAAUCCAAUGUAUGAGCAAUUACAUAGUAUGCAAUCUACACAUGCUACUAUGCCUCAAAUGUCAAAUGGAUGAGCUACUACAUAGUAAUGUAUCCUGCAACAUGCUACUAUGCCUCAAAUAUCCAAAUACCAUAUCCAAGUGAAAUGUAUGAGCUACUACAUAGUAAUGUAUCCUGCAACAUGCUACUAUGCCUUAAAUAUCCAAAUACCAUAUCCAAAUGAAAUGCAUGAGCUACUACAUAGUAUACAUUCUACACAUGAUACUAUGCCUCAAUAAUCAAAUGUAUGAACGAGCUACUACAUAGUGUGUCGUGCAACUAUGCCUUGAUAAUCAGAAUGAACGAGCCACUACAUAGUGCGUCGUGCAACUAUGCCUCGAUAGUAUCCAAUCUCAUGGCUAACCCGAAGGUUGCUACCCGGACUCAUAUCUCAAAUCUCGCUAGUGGGGAGACUCUGUACUACACCCACCCGAGACCCGUCUGCGGGACAACUACGUCUGUCCCAACGCGACUACUACUCCGAAACUCACAACAUGGGUGGAGCGACCACGCCAAGGUUACACAGACUAUGUGAGUAUGAUCCAAUCCCCACACUGGAGGAUACCCUAUCUACUAGGGCCACAUUGCCUCAACUGCACUAAUGCCAAAUGCAUAAUGUCCACAACAUGACAAUCGAAAAAAAUCUACUACUCCUAUGUUCAAAUGCCAUAGUGUUCCACUACACUAGAUUUGAUGCCACUCAUUUAGGUCAUGAUGUUAUAUGUGUCUCAAUGCACUAAAUCAACAUGCCACUCUGUAGCAUACUGGACCUUUGCAAAUUGCGAGGUUCGAGUAUUUGAUAUGUAUUCUGAACUUUUCCACACUUGGUGGAAGGUCGUAGAUGGUAUUCCGGCCUAAAAGUUCGAUCGCUAGAGUUUUGGUAAGUCCUGAGAGUUUUCACUCUCGGGGACCGGUCCCUGAUAUGAGAAACCGGUCCCCUCAGAACAGUGCUGUGGUAGGACUUGAGGCAACCGGUCCCUGGCUGGGAGAGACCGGUUCCCGAACGCGUGUUUUGCGAGAAGCGUUCGAGAGACCGGUCCCUUGCGGGGAGAGAUCGGUUCCCGAACGUUGGUUUUGCGGGGCAGGCUGAGGGACCGGUCCCAGGUGUCGGGGAGACCGGUCCCUCAGCAUGAAAACUGCCCAGACCAGGCAGUGCACAGGUUGCAUUUUAGAGGGACCUAGGUGGAUUUUGUUACAUUUGAAGGCUUAUAGAGCCUUUUCUCUCCCUCUAACCCUCAUUUUCACCCUCCUUACACUUCUAGAGAGAGAAGAAGAAGGAGAAGAAGAAGGAGAAGUUGGAGAGCUAGCUUGAGGGAGCCUUGGAGCAUCUUCCUCUUUCCUAUUUCUCACUUUUGGAGGCUUAGAGCUUGGACUUGGAGCUUUGUGGUGGAUUAAUCUUCAAUCCUAAAACAUUUUGAGCUUGGUUUGGAUCUCCUCUUGAGGUUAGUUGCUUAUUUCUCCCCUUUAGACCUAUUUUUGGUAGAUUUUGGGAGAUGAAACUCUAGAUUUGGAUUUUAGGGUUUAUUUUCGGGAUUUUUGAUUUGAGGGCUUGGAGACCUAAUUGAUGGGUUUAGAACCUUCCUCUAGGUUGGGUUGGAAGGGUUCUUGCCCUCUUUGGAAGCUUGGGCAGGGAUUUCAUCACACGAGGUGAGUUAUGCCCUUUAUGCUUAGAUGGUUUAAGAUUGAGCUUUUUGAUGUUCGUUUCGAUUGUGUAACUCUUGUUCCUACAUCUUUAGGGUGCUAGGAGACUAGUGGACACCUCCGUUCGGCGAAACGAAGAGUUUCGAUUUUCGGUGGGUUUGGCUACAUGAAAACGGGGCGAAAUAGCCCCCAUGUUUUCUAUACUUGUUGUAAUGUCAUUUUAAAUGCAACUCUAUGCUUAAUGGAAAUUAUGUGAAUUUUAGAACACUUAAAAUGCAUGUGUUAUGUAUAAGAAAAUUUGCACUCUAUAUAGUAGAGCAUUCUGGGUAUUGUUACAUGCAUUUGGGUAGUGUUCGCAUUAGUCGUUUGGAAACAUGCUUCAUAUGUUUAAAGUGGCUCAAUUAUCAUUUGUGAACACUUGGGUUAAGCUUGGACUUGUAAAUGAAAGUGUUAUAAAGGGGCACUUAGACUAGCACACUAUGAGACUAUUAUUUUGAGACUUAGAGAUAGGCCAUGGACAUCUACUACUUUUCAUGUUUAAGACAUGAUGACAUAGAGAUAGGCCUAUGAGAAAGUUGUGACAUAUUCCAUGUUGUUAGACAUGAGGACUUAGUACUUGAGACGGAUCUUUCGUUACUUGCCAUUGUGCUCAUUCGCACAUGCUUGUGAGGGUCGCUCCCUACAGCCGGCACCCGGAGAUGGCCAUCGCGAUACAUAUUCCCGUGCGGGAUUGGACGCUGAAGGGAUUGCCGGGGGAAAGGCUCAUUCCUACAGUGGGGAUGUUGACUACCACUGGGCCAUUAGCUCGCACCGCCAGACAUCCUACGGUGGUUCUCAGGGCCAGACAGCCUCGGCGGUCUCUCCCAGAUUUGAUUUGAGCAUUCAUCACGCCAUGUGACAUUGAUUAGAUAUAAACAAUAACAUCUUUACUAUUUGACUUAUGGACAUCAUACACGCGAUGCUUGUACAUUCAUGACGAGAAUAGCUUUUCUUAGUUAUACUAAAUCAUGCUAAGUAGAGAUAUCAUGUGGUAGCAAAUAUUCAAUGUUAUUUACUUGCGUGACCUAUCGUUUUGUUUAUUUUGCUUACUGACACCUUUUUUAGUUUGGGCCUAGUGGUGCAUUCACUGAAGCCAGUAAUUGCCCACUGGGAAUAUUUAUUUUAAUAUCUCACGCCCCCCUGUUUUAUGGUUUUAUUUCAAGCCUUCGCACGCGGCGGAGUCACGGGAUCGCGGCAAGGGAGUCGCGUAGCUAGUUAGCGGGGAGCUACUUUUGAGCUAGUGGUUUACUCUUUCUUAUUGUAUUAGGAAGAGAGAUUUUGAGUAUCAUGUAUAGAGAGACCACCUAUAUACUCUUUAGUUUAGUUUUUGUAUUUAGGAUUUCCUUUGUACUACUUUAUGGCUUUAUUAGUGAUUUCAGUUUUAUACUUACCCCCUGUGUAGAACUUAGUUAAUUACUUUGCUCUGAUAUCGUUAGAUUCCUUUGUUCUACUGCUGUAAUACACUGGAUCUUAGCAAAUUGCAAGAUUCGAUGUGUUUGAUCUGUGUGUGGAGCUUUUCCACAUUUUUGGAGGGUCGUUGUUAGUUGUCCGACCGUGGCACGCACCCGAGGGUGUUGGUUUGAGACGUGGCACCAAAAUCCUAAAUGGAAUUUUUGGUCAGCCUCGAUAGCCUGCAGCAGGGCUUGACCGGAACAAGACCUGGUCUUGUCCGGUACAAGGAGUGAUGGUUGUACCGGUACAGCCAUCGGGCUUGUACCGGUACAGAGACGCAGACCGCGCGACCCGAGCCUCGGGUUUGCAUUUUCGCAGGGCUUGUACCGGUACAAGAGCCCGUGUACCGGUACAAGGAGGCAGAUUUCGUGCAGUUUGAACUGCAGGGGGUUUUUCGCGAUUGUAGCUUAUCUAUUAGUAACCCCACGCCCCUUAGGGCUUCCCUGAGCUUCACAGCAGCAGGAGAAGAGGUAGGGGAGUUCUCCACACCCUCCCUCUCUAUUUCUUUGAUCUUGGUUGGUUUAAUUUUUGAUUUAAGCCUCUCUUUUCCCUCUUUUUGCUUCUUGGUGUUCUCCCUCCAUAGAAGGAGCUUGAAGCUUGGUUUUGGAGCUUGUUUGAGGGGAGAUUUUCAGAUUUUGGGGACUUGAACACUUGUUGGAGGCUUCCAAAGAGUUUAGAAGCUUAAUCUUUUUCUUUGAUCCUUAAUUUAUUGGAUUUCUUGAGAUGAAACCCUAGAUUGUGAUAUUAGGGCUUAUUUUGGGUAUUUUGAAUCUAGGGCUUUUGAAGCUAGAUUGAGUGGAUUAGAGGCUUCCAUUAGGUUGGAUUGGAUGAACCCUAGCUCUCUUUUGGAGCUUUAGAGGAGAUUUUUGCACUAGAGGUGAGUUUUUCUCGCCUAUGCUUGAGUAGCUUAAUGAUUGAGCUAGGUAUUGUUCGUUUUACCCGUAUGACACAUGUUUCUAUACCUCUAGUGUACUAGGAGAUUAGAGGACACCCUCGUUGGAGCGAACGAGGAGUUUCGUCGUCAUCGGUGGGUUUGGCUUCGUGAAAAUGGAGCGAAAUGGCCCCUAUGCUCUUUACACUUGUCGUAAAAUAUUUUUAAGUUCAUUUCUAUGUUACAUGGAAUUUAUAUGAAUUAUAGAACACUUAAAAUGCAUGCCUUGUGUAUUAUGAAAAUUUCACUAUAUAGUAGAGCUAUAUGAGUAGAAUGCAUGCAUACGGGAAAAAUGUUUAUUUUUGCAAGUGAAAAAUACAUCUCUUAUGAGGAUGAUGACUUGGAAUAUGUACUUUGGAACAUAGUUGCCAUGCUUGGAACUUGUUGAACAAAAGUGUCAUUAAGCGGCACUUGGAACUAGCAAACUGUUAAACUGCAACAUAGAGACAUAUUGAUAGGCCACUAUGUAUUUGCUAUAUUCCAUGUUAGAGACAUGAUGACAUAGAGAUAGGCCAUUGAGAUACUUGAUAUAUUCCAUGUUGUUAGACAUGAGGACUUGGUACUUGAGACGGAUCAUUGCUUGCUUGCCAUUUGUGCUCAUUCGCACAUGCUUGUGAGGGUCGCUCCCUACAAGCCGGCACUCCGGAGAUAGCCAUCGCGACAUAUGCUCGCCCGUGCGGGAUUGGGCGCCGAAGUGGAUUGCCGUGGGGGAGGCUCAUCCCUAGAGUGGGGAUGUUGACUACCACGGGGCCAUUAGGCACGGCGCAGGCCAGACAGCCUUCGGGUGGGUCUUAUAUGAUUGGGACUUGGUGACAGAACAUGCUAUGUGAACUUUAUAACUGUUAAAGUGGACUUGGACUAGAAUAGUAAACAAUGACAUCUUUACUAUUACAUUGUGGACUUUGGGUAGUUGCAUAAUCAUGCUUUAUAUGUUGGGUGUUCAUGUGCAUAUAGCUAGUAGUUGCUUCCUUACUUAUGUAAAUUAUGCUAAGUAGAGGUAUCAUGAUUAUUGGGUACUCGUUUAUUUAUUUACUUACAGUGCAUUUAUCGCUUUUGUUAUAAUGUACACUGACCCUUUUUCUAUAGUUUCGGGCCUAGUGGUGCAUUUCACUGAAGUCAGUAAUUGCCCACUGGGAACUAUUUUUAAUAGUUCUCACGCCCCUGUUUCUAUGUUUCCUUUUCAGAGCCUUCGGCACCGGCGGAGGCACGGGAUCGCGGCAAGGGUGUCGCGUAGCUAGCUCGCGGAGAGUUCUUUUGCGCUAGGUGGUUACUCCUCCAUUUUUAUAUUUUGUGAGAGGGGGAGAGGUUUUGUACCAUGUAUAGAGAGACCACCUUGUACUCCUUUUAGCACUUGUUAUGGGAUCCCUAUUGUUCUUACUUUAUGUUUUUACUUAGUGGACUUUCAGCUUUAUGUCCUUUCCUUGUUAUAGAACUAGUUAUACAAUGCUCUGAUAUCUCUAGAUCUCUUGUAUUAUUGUUUGAAAUUUUUGUAGACGCCUUAUAUGUUUUAGACGUAUGGCGGGUCUGGACACGCGCCGGGUAGGCUUUCGCUGAGCCCCGGGGCGUGACAACUGCUUUAUUUAUCGUUUUGUUUUAGACGCCUUGUAUGUUUUAGACAUAUGGCGGGUCUGAGUACGCGCCGGGCGGGCUUCCGCUGUGUCCCGAGGCGUGACAGAUUAGUAUCAGAGCCUAGGGUUGAGUCUUAGUGGACCUAGCAAACCUUAGGCCGGUUGGACUAUAGGAAAUAGGCUCGUGAGGGAUGAGGUCUAUUUGACUUGUAAGCGAAAGUAUCGUGAUUGGGUAUCUUGACAACUUUAGAAAGUGGAGUUAAAUUGAAGUGUAUAGCUCCUAACUUCGCGGAGGGUUACGUUGGCGGCCGACAACGUAACAUCGGGAGUUAGUAGUGAAGUACAUUUCAUUACUUUCGCAUGAUUUGGGGCAUUACCUUCUUGAGUGGGGAUUCGAUGUCGUGAGUUUACUAACUUACGCUUUUAUGAUAUUGUAGUGUGAUACCAAUUACACGCUCCUAAUUUGCCGGAGCGGAUAACGCGGCAAAUCUGGAGGAGGUCGAGACCUCCGCUACCUCCGAAUCCGGCGAGGUUCGAGAGUUGAGGGGCCAGCUUGCGGCCCUCACUGAUAUGGUGGCACAGCAGACUGAGGCGGCGCGCCGAUAGGAGGCGCGGAUGAAGCGCCUGGAGGAUCUUCUGUUACAGCAGGCGGCGGCUUCCAGGGAGACUCAGGCCCCUACACCGCCAGCACCAGUCGUGAACGUCGCGCCGAGAGCGCCAUCCCCUCGCCCAGUUCUUCACGUGCAGCGCUCGCGGUCGCGCCUUAGGAGGAGGCUAUUGCGACACCACCUGAGGCCUCCGGUUGGAGCAGCUUUUCCUACCUUGGUCGAGGGAGCGGAAAGGGACAGACUGAUGGAACGCCUCAACGAGUUCAAGAGGUGCAGUCCUCGGAUCUUCGAUGGCGAGAAGGUCGACCACUGGAUCGUGGAGAAGUGGUUGAUGCAUAUGGAGAAGCUCUUCCGCGACACCUUCGUGGAGGAGAGAGAUCGAGUUUGGCUCACCACACACCAUUUGGACGGCGAGGCCUACCGCUGGUGGGUGGAUCUCCAGGAGAACCCCAGCACUGAUUUGGCGGCUAUUACGUGGAAGAGGUUCAAGGAGCUUCUUUUGACACACUACUUCCCGACCAGCGUCAAGAGGAAGAUGGAGCAGGAUCUGCGCAACUUGCGCCAAGGUGAUCGGACUGUGGCCGAGUACGAGCGGGAGUUUUCUCGGCUUCUUCACUGCGUGCCUUUCAUCGUGCGAGACGACGAGGACAAGGCCCGCAUCUUCGAGCCAGGGUUGCGACCGUCGAUCUUUCGGUUUGUGCAAUCCUCUAAUCUCCAAACCUAUCGGGAGGUGGUGGAUCGCGCGCUCAUAGUGGAGAGCGGCGCAGCAGAGGUCCAGGAGCGGCAAGAGGCGAUGGACAAAGGUAAGGCCAAGAGGCCUGCGGCAAAGGGUGCGAGCCAGACGCACUCUAGGAGGCCGCCGAAGCAUCCUAGGAGCCAGCAGCGUGGACGCGGCUCAGCAGCGCAGCGAGGAGGUUCUGACCGUCGCCGGCCUUACCCGUGUGUGAUCUGCGGUGGUCCUCAUUUCCCACCGCAGUGUCCACAGCGGGUGGGCAGGUGCUUCCAGUGUGGCCAGGAGGGCGACGUUCGGACUGAGUGCCCGAGAGGUCCUUCACUAGCACCGUCGACUACAUCGGCACCGGCUCUACCAGCCGUCAGCCAUGGGACUCCGUCGACACAGUACCAGCUUGAGCGGCCACCCGUCGAGCGCCAGAGCGAGGGAUUUCGACAGGCCCCGAGUGGGCAUUUGUAUGCCGCUCAGACCGAGCAGGCGGCAGCAGCCAAGAAUGUGAUUGCAGGUAUCAUUUUACUUCAUGGCAUUAGAGUUCGUGCUUUAUUUGAUACCGGUGCAUCGCAUUCAUUUAUAGAUCGGUUGUUUGCCGAGUUGCAUGGCAUCCCUAUAUUUUCUUUGUUGCAUCCGGGACGUGUAGUUGUCCCCGACCACUCUUUGGAUAUUAGAGAGUAUUGUCCCAGUUGCUCUAUUUGGGUAGGAGAUUGGAUCAUGCCCGUAGAUUUGCUAGCCCUGUGCAAGCUAGGGGAUUUCGAUGUGGUCUUGGGUAUGGAUUGGCUAACCAAGUAUUAUGCCACGAUUGAUUGUAAGAAUCGCACGGUUACUUUUAAAGAACCGGGGCAGACUGAGGUUGUGUUUAGUGGAUGCCGGAGUUCGCUUUUUGCGAUGUCGAUCAGCUCGUCUCGAGCUAGGCAGCUGAUCAGCCGAUGAUGUGUAGCUUACUUGGCUAGUGUUGUAUUGAGGGGCGAGGAUGACACCCCUAGGAUUGAGGAUAUCCCGGUGGUACGGGAGUUCCAGGACGUGUUUCCAGCUGAGCUACUGGGUAUGCCACCCGAUAGGGAGAUUGAGUUUGUGGUAGAUCUCGUCCCUGGGACUACCCCAAUCUCGAAGGCACCCUAUAGGAUGGCACCGGCGGAGCUGAAGGAGCUGAGGGCACAGCUACAGGAUCUGUUGGACAAGGGCUUCAUUCGACCGAGCGUCUCGCCGUAGGGAGCGCCAGUUUUGUUCGUCAAGAAAAAGGACGGAUCACUUCGCCUAUGUGUGGAUUAUCAUGAGCUUAAUAAAGACACGAUCAAGAAUAAGUAUCCGUUGCCGAGGAUCGAUGACUUGUUUGAUCAGCUUCAAGGAUCAUGUGUGUAUUCCAAGAUAGACUUGCAGUCGGGAUACCACCAGUUAAAGAUCAAACCCGAGGAUGUAUCGAAGACGGCUUUUAGAACACGGUAUGGACACUAUGAGUUCACAGUUAUGCCGUUUGAGCUUACUAAUGCUCCGAUAGCUUUUAUGGAUCUGAUGAACCGUGUUUUUAAGCCUUAUCUAGACAGGUUCGUCGUGGUAUUCAUCGACGACAUUUUGGUUUAUUCCCGAAGUGAUGCGGAUCACGAGGAGCAUUUGAGGCUAGUACUUCAAUUACUUCGGGAAAAGGAGCUUUAUGCCAAGCUGAGAAAGUGUGAAUUUUGGCUUCGAGAAGUAGCCUUUCUUGGACAUUUGAUAUCGAGAUCGGGUAUAGCCGUGGAUCCUAAGAAGAUUGAGGCUAUCAAGGAUUGGCCGAGACCGACGAGUGUCACGGAGAUACGCAGCUUCCUUGGAUUGGCCGAUUACUACCGGAGAUUUGUCGAGGGGUUUGCUAAGCUAUCUACUCUCCUCACGAGGCUCACGCAUAAAGGUGUCAAGUUCAUUUGGAAUGAUGCGUGUGAGAGAAGCUUCCAAGAGCUGAAGCAACGACUGACGACCGCCCCGAUCCUGACCCUACCUGUUGCUGGAGCAGGGUAUGUGGUUUAUAGUGAUGCAUCUCUUAAUGGAUUGGGCUGCGUUUCGAUGCAGGAUGGCAAGGUGAUCGCGUGUGCUUCUCGCCAACUGAAGGAAUAUGAAAAGAAUUACCCUACACACGAUUUGGAGUUGGCGGCCGUAGUUUUCGCAUUGAAGUUAUGGCGCCAUUACUUAUAUGGCGAGCGGUGUGAAGUAUACAUGGAUCACAAGAGCUUGAAGUAUUUGUUCACUCAGAAGGAGUUGAACUUGAGACAGCGCAGAUGGUUGGAGCUGCUCAAGGAUUAUGAUUUGACUAUUCUUUACCACCCGGGCAAGGCUAAUGUAGUGGCGGAUGCGCUAAGUAGGAAAUCUACGGAAAACUUAGCGAUGCAUGUUGUUACUCAACUGCAGUUGAUCGAGCAGAUGAAGCGGUUGGAGUUGGAGUUAGUGACUCCUGAUACACUUUUGAGAUUAAUGACCUUGGUAGUGCAACCUAUGCUCUUGGAUAGAAUUAAAGAGAAGCAAGCUUCUGAUGUGGAGUUGCAAAGGAUUAAAGGUAAAAUGGUUGAUGGUUGUACCGGCGACUACCUUGUGGAUGACCAAGGAUUUACGCGUUUUCGUGGACGGACUUGUGUACCGGCGGAUUCGGAAAUUAAAGAGGAUAUUCUUCAAGAAGCGCACCGAGCGCCCUAUGCUAUACAUCCGGGAGGCAUCAAGAUGUACAAGGACUUGAAGUUGCUUUAUUGGUGGCCCGGGAUGAAAAAGGACGUUUGUGAGUUUGUCGCUCGUUGUCUAACUUGCCAACAAGUAAAGGCUGAGCAUCGAUUAUCCGCGGAAAAACAUCAGAGCUUGCCUAUUCCCGUGUGGAAGUGGGAAAAGAUUACCAUGAAUUUCGUAACUGGAUUGCCCCGCUGUCAGGCCGGGCAUGAUGUUAUAUGGGUGAUCGUGGAUAGGUUGACGAAGUCGGCGCACUUCAUACCUAUUCAUACUACUUGGACCGGAGAAAAGCUCACACAAGUGUACCUUGAUGAGAUUGUGCGACUUCACGGAGUACCUACAUCGAUAGUAUCGGAUCGAGACACUCGGUUUGUGUCUCACUUUUGGAGGAGUCUACAGGACGCCUUGGGCACCCGACUCAACUUGAGCACUGCUUUCCACCCUCAGAGUGAUGGGCAGUCGGAGCGCACCAUUCAGACUUUAGAGGAUAUGCUCCGAGCGUGUGUGAUAGACUUUCAGGAAUGAUGGUCGCAACAUCUACCUAUGGCAGAGUUUGCUUAUAACAACAGUUAUCAAGCAAGCAUUAAGAUGGCGCCAUUUGAAGCACUUUAUGGACGGAAGUGUAGAUCACCACUUCAUUUGAGUGAAGUCGGCGAGAGAUUGGCAUUAGGCCCUGACGUGCUCCAGGAAGCUGAGGACAAGGUUCGAAUUGCUCGGGAGUGACUUUUGACGGCAUAGAGUAGACAGAGGAGCUACGCCGACCGACGACGGCGAGACUUGGAGUUCUAAGUUGGAGACCAUGUUUUCUUGAAGGUCUCGCCGACUAGAGGGAUCAAGAGAUUUGGGAUUCGGGGUAAGUUAAGCUCCCGUUUCAUCGGACCGUAUGAGAUUUUGGAACGUGUAGGUCCGGUAGCGUAUCGACUUGUUCUACCACCGAACCUAUCGGGCAUGCACAACGUCUUUCAUGUAUCGGUCAUUCAGAAGUACGUCUUCGAUCCGACUCAUGUGUUGGAUGCUACACCUGUGGAGUUGCAGGACGAUUUGAGUUUCGAGGAGCAACCCGUGAAGAUUUUGGCUCGUGAGGUGAAAAAGCUGCGGAAUCGGGAUAUUCCGUACGUGAUGGUUCUUUGGAGCAACCACGGGGAGCGGGAGGCCACGGGGGAGCUAGAGAGGCGCUGUGGGAGCGCUAUCCCCAUUUUUUUCAGAUGGAGCUUUGAGGUAUGCUGUCGUUUUGAGUUUUGCGAGCGAAACUCCUUUUUAGGAGGGCUGAAUGUAACACACUGGACCUUUGCAAAUUGCGAGGUUCGAGUGUUUGAUAUGUAUUCCGAACUUUUUCACACUUGGUGGAAGGUCGUAGAUAGUAUUCCGGUCUAAAAGUUCGAUCGCUAGAGUUUUGGCAAGUCUUGAGAGUUUUCACUCUCGGGGACCGGUCCCCUCAGAACAGUGCUGCGGCAGGACUUGAGGCAACCGAUCCCUAGCUGGGAGAGACCGGUUCCCGAACGCGUGUUUUGCUAGAAGGGUUCGAGAGACCGGUCCCUGGCGGGGAGAGACCAGUUCCCGAACGUUGGUUUUGCGGGGCAGGCUGAGAGACCGGUCCCAGGUGUCGGGGAGACCGGUCCCUCAGCACGAAAACUGUCCAGACUGGGCAGUGCACAGGUUGCAUUUUAGAGGGACCUAGGUGGAUUUUGUUACAUUUGAAGGCUUAUAGAGCCUUUCCUCUCCCUCUCACUCUCAUUUUCACCCUCCUUACACUUCUAGAGAGAGAAGAAGAAGGAGAAGAAGAAGGAGAAGUUGGAGAGCAAGCUUGACGGAGCCUUGGAGCAUCUUCCUCUUUCCCAUUUCUCACUUUUAGAGGCUUAGAGCUUGGACUUGGAGCUUUGUGGUGGAUUAAUCUUCAACCCUAAAACAUUUUGAGCUUGGUUUGGAUCUCCUCUUGAGGUUAGUUGCUUAUUUCUCCCCUUUAGACCUAUUUUUGGUAGAUUUUGGGAGAUAGAAUCCUAGAUUUGGAUUUUAGGGUUUAUUUUGGAGAUUUUUGAUUUGAGGGCUUGGAGACCUAAUUGAUGGGUUUAGAACCUUCCUCUAGGUUGGGUUGGAAGGGUUCUUGCCCUCUUUGGAAGCUUGGGCAGGGAUUUCAUCACAAGAGGUGAGUUAUGCCCUUUAUGCUUAGAUGGUUUAAGAUUGAGUUUUUGAUGUUCGUUUCGAUUGUGUAACUCUUGUUCCUACAUCUUUAAGGUGCUAGGAGACUAGUGGACACCUCCGUUCGGCGAAACGAAGAGUUUCGAUUUUCGGUGGGUUUGGCUUCAUGAAAACGGGGCGAAAUAGCCCCCGUGUUUUCUAUACUUGUCGUAACGUCAUUUUAAAUGCAACUCUAUGCUUAAUGGAAAUUAUGUGAAUUUUAGAACACUUAAAAUGCAUGUGUUAUAUAUAAGAAAAUUUGCACUCUAUAUAGUAGAGCAUUCUGGGUAUUGUUACAUGCAUUUGGGUAGUGUUCGCAUUAGUCGUUUGGAAACAUGCUUCAUAUGUUUAAAGUGGCUCAAUUAUACAUUUGUGAACACUUGGGUUAAGCUUGGACUUAGUAAAUGAAAGUGUCAUAAAGGGGCAUUUAGACUAGCACACUAUGAGACUAUUGUUUUGAGACUUAGAGAUAGGCCAUGGACAUCUACUACUUUUCAUAUUUUAGACAUGAUGACAUAGAGAUAGGCCUAUGAGAGAGUUGUGACAUAUUCCAUGUUGUUAGACAUGAGGACUUAGUACUUGAGACGGAUCUUUCGUUACUUGCCAUUGUGCUCAUUCGCACAUGCUUGUGAGGGUCGCUCCCUACAAGCCGGCACUCCGGAGAUGGCCAUCGCGAUACAUAUUCGCCAUGCGGGAUUGGGCGCCGAAGUGGAUUGCCAUGGGAAAGGCUCAUUCCUAGAGUGGGGAUGUUGACUACCACGGGGCCAUUAGGCUCGGCACCGGCCAGACAGCCUACGGGUGGGUCUCAGGGCCAGACAGCCUUCGGGCGGGUCUCUACAGAUUUGAUUUUGAGCAUUCAUCACGCCAUGUGGACAUUGAUUAGAAUAGUAAACAAUGACAUCUUUACUAUUUGAUUUAUGGACAUCAUACUAACGAUGCUUGGGUACAUUCAUACGAGAAUAGCUUUUCUUACUUAUGCAAAAUCAUGCUAAGUAGAGAUAUCAUGUGGUAGCAAAUAUUCAUAUUUAUUUACUUGUCGUACCAAUCGUUUUUGUUUAUUUUGCUUACUGACCCCUUUUUAGUUUGGGCCUAGUGGUGCAUUUCACUGAAGCAAGUAAUUGCCUACUGGGAACUAUUAUUCAAUAGUUCUCACGCCCCCUGUUUUAUGGUUUUAUUUCAGAGCCUUCGGCACCUGCGGAGGCACGGGAUCGCGGCAAGGGAGUUGCGUAGCUAGUUAGCGGGAAGCUACUUUUGAGCUUAGGUGGUUUACUCUUUCUUUUAUUGUAUUAGAAAUAGAGAGAGAUUUUGAGUACCAUGUAUAGAGAGACCACCUAUAUACUCUUUAUGUUUAGUUUUUGUAUUUGGGAUUUCCUUUGUACUACUUUAUGGCUUUAUUAGUGGAUUUCAGUUUUAUACUUACCCCCCCUGUGUAGAACUUAGUUAAUUACUUUGCUCUGAUAUCGUUAGAUUCCUUUAUUCUACUACUUUAUUUAUCAUUUUGUUUUAGACGCCUUGUAUGUUUUAGACAUAUGGCGGGUCUGGGCACGCGCCGGGUGGGCUUCCGCUGGGUCUCGGGGCGUGACACACUCAUCCAUAUUAUAGUGUCUCUAUUAUACUAGUCCAAAUGCCACUCAUCUAGGCCAUUUACAUGUCCAAGUUCAUCAUCAUUAUUGUCACUAUAGGAUUCUUGUCACAAGACCCAAUCCUUAUGUAACCUAAGAUCAAGUAUCAAGCCCACAAUGCUACACAACCUAGGUAACAUGCAAGGAAUGGAAAUGCAAUCAUCUACUAAUCCUAUAAUGCACAAUGUAUCAACAUAUGAGAAUAUGAUCAAAUACAUAGAACUUAGACAUAAAAGGAAACCCGGUUGCUUCGGGAUGGACACCCCCCACCUUUAGGACACCCCACCUUUAGGUGAUGUCUCGAUGCUAUGAUUCCGGUUUCGUGAUUUUUGUAAGCUUACGCCGCGAGUUGCGGCAAUCUAUACCGAAAUCGGCCUUUUCUUCAAUAUCUUCACGUAGGCUCGACGAAUCGCCGAACCGACUUCACCAACGCGUUCGUAUACCUAGCAAUUAGGUUUGUGUAGGGUUAAUUUAGAUCAAACCCUACUAGAUAGCUAAACCCUAUUUUUGGAGCCCUAAAACCCCAUUAUUGCGAAGUCCUUCGUCUAGCUCAUUACUCUUGCAAUAAAUGGAAAUAGCCACAUCUAGGGGUCCAUUAAAUUCCACUCCUAGGGUUUAUAAACCCAUCCUUAGCAUUCUACCAUGAGAGGGGUUAAAGAGCUUACCUCUACAAGCUAUUCCUCCCAAGCUAAGGAAGAAGAUAGUGAUGAUGCUCCACCUCCAAGCUCUAAUCUCCUCCUUUCUCCUCCUCUUGCUUUCCUCCUUGAAGAGAGAGAGAGAGAGAGAGACACCUUAGAGAGAGAGAGAGAGAGAGUUUAGGGUUGAGGGAAUGAGAGAAAAUGAGAGAGACAUCCCUCAUAUAACUCCCCCUUAUAGCCAAAUUGCCAAAAACCCCCUAAACUAUCCAAACUGCACUAAACUCGGCAUUUUAGGGUCUCGGAGACUGGUCCUUGGCUUGAGGGACCGGACCCCGUAGGUCUAAAAAUUCUGCAUUUCCAGACUUAGCUAAAAUUUCAGUCUUUUCGUCAAUUUUGGUCCGUUUUCGCUCAUUUUCGCUCCGUGGGUCUCCGAUUCAUUUCAAAUCGAACCGAGGCUCUUAAAACAUGAUUUCGAGCGCGUUUACAUCAUCUUUUCAUCCACGCUAAUGCUGGAUUUAGUCCAUAGUCCAACAUAGCCUUUCGGGUCCCUUUUUGCGCCUACGCGCUCCGAAAACACCCGAAUGCUUCCGAACUUCACCGAACCAUUCUAAUGGCUUUCCAAACCAACAUACCCCAUAACUUCAUAACUUUAGAAGUUUGGUAUGUUACACAUUGAGGUUCUCAUUCCUUACAGUAGCGGUAGUUGCAUUCUAUAUCCUGCUUUUCUAUUGAUAUUGCUACUGUAUUAUUGUUCAUAGAUAUCUUUAGUUACCAGUGAGUACGCUCGCCUUCGUCGGCUUGCGGUACCCACUGGGAGAUCUUUUGUUGGUUUCUCACCCUCCCCCCCCCCCCCCCCCCCCCCCCCCCCCCCCCCCCCCCCCCCCCCCCCCCCCCCCCCCCCCCCCCCCCCCCCCCCCCCCCCCCCCCCCCCCCCCCCCCCCCCCCCCCCCCCCCCCCCCCCCCCCCCCCCCCCCCCCCCCCCCCCCCCCCCCCCCCCCCCCCCCCCCCCCCCCCCCCCCCCCCCCCCCCCCCCCCCCCCCCCCCCCCCCCCCCCCCCCCCCCCCCCCCCCCCCCCCCCCCCCCCCCCCCCCCCCCCCCCCCCCCCCCCCCCCCCCCCCCCCCCCCCCCCCCCCCCCCCCCCCCCCCCCCCCCCCCCCCCCCCCCCCCCCCCCCCCCCCCCCCCCCCCCCCCCCCCCCCCCCCCCCCCCCCCCCCCCCCCCCCCCCCCCCCCCCCCCCCCCCCCCCCCCCCCCCCCCCCCCCCCCCCCCCCCCCCCCCCCCCAUUUCAGGUGACGUUGCCGGUCCGAGUCGGGACGAGGUAUGAGGCACGUUCUUAGUGGUCGAUAAAGUUCCGGCCCGGUUCACAUUGGUUUAGUUCUAACCCUAUCCUCUCAGAAUAAAUGACUUAGACAUUUUAUGGUUCAGUUGACUUUAUUUCAGUUGGAUAUAUAUGGUUUUGUGAGGUUAAAUAAUAUUGUUUUAUUUAUUAUCACAUGAGUUGUGAAAAUAGUUUCCUACCCUCGUGAUAGCGUUUUAAAGAAAAUGUUUCCGUGUGGAAAAUGGUUUUUAAAAGGUUUUCUUGUGGAAAUGUAAAUGUAUGCUGUGUGUGAAUGAUUUGUGAUUGUACUUGUACUCGUACGACGCUAUGCAAAUAUAGGCGAGACUCUGUCCGUGUGAAUAGUGAUUUUUUUGUAUUUGUGGCGGGUCUGUUAUCCCUUGGGUCAAGGUUUUCAAAAUAAAAAUAUUGGGCAUUUUUUCGUUGAUUUUACAGACUAAAAAGGGACCCCAAGGCGUGAUACCCGAGGGGAUAGGGAGCUGCAGAUAGAGUUCAGUCGUGUAGCAUCCCUGUAGGUAGAGGAGGCCGGUGGCGACGACAGCAUGGUGGUGGGGAAGCGACAACGGCUCGGUUGGAGGGGCUCAACCCGACAUCAAGCUCGGGUUGGUCUACGAGCUCGAGGAGGGGGAAAGGGGGGCGACGCUGCGGUGAUGGAGAGAGGGGUUGCCUCGCUGGAGUUCCCCUGAGGUUGACCACAGUGGUGAUGAUGGCGACGGCUGGGGGCAAGCCCCAGAGAAGGGGGAAAGGCCUGAGAGGGGGAGGGAGGGAAAGAGAUAAAGAGAGAAAAAGACAGAGAGAGGGCCUAUGGCUCGAGGUUCCUCGUUGGCCAAAAAGUCGCCCGAAGAGGGGAAAAAAGAGGCGGCGUGGCGGCGACUGAGGAGGAGAGGGGAGAGGGCAAUAGACAUAGGGUUAGGGUUUCUAUUCCAAUACGUAUAUACAUAUGUAUAAAUAUAGUAAUAUAUAUAUAUAUAUAUAUAUAUAUAUAUAUAUAUAUAGUCCGGCUACUAUGCUAUCGGUAGCACGAAGCGCUUCGUGCUACCAAGUUGUUUUCGAAUGAUGCGGCUUCCAAAUCGACGAUCGGUUCCGUUAGACUUGAUCUACACUAUGAAAGUAUUUGGAAACAAAAUUUCAAUUUUUUCGACAUCAUUUGACUAGUGAUCAAAAGAUCUCAAAUCGACAAUUUUAAUGGCCGAUUGUGGUGUUUUGUGAGUUUAACGGUGUAAAACAAUCAAUGCAAUGAAAAUUUUAUAGAAUUUUUUUUUUUCACUAUUUAGAGUAAGAUCAGUAUAUCUGAUCUUGAAUUUAAAUCUUUUAUCAUCAUUUCUCAUGAGAUUUUUUUUCAGCUGUUCAUUUUAGACUACUUGUUUGAUGGUAAAUAUAUCGAAAAAAUCUGAAAUUUAGUUUCCAAAUACUUUCAAUAGUGUAGAUCAAGUCUAACGGAACCGAUCGUCGAUUUGGAAGCCGCAUCAUCGAAAACAACUUGGUAGCACAGAGCGCUCCGUGCUAUCGAUAGUAUAGUAGCCUAGUUCUAUAUAUAUAUAUAUAUAUAUAUAUAUAUAUAUAUAUAUAUAAACCCCUUUGUGCACAAAUUACAAGUAGGCCCAGAAGUUAGCCUCUCUUAUCCGAAACCCCACAGAAUUGUACUUUUACAGGAAAGCCUUUCUUGCAACCAAUUUUUGCAAAUGCGCAAGAAAAUUGCAUCUUUUUGCGAAAAGAUCCAACAUCCACUUCUCUCUCUCCUUUUCAACUCUGUGUUGUUUUGCACAGAAGUAUCAGAAUUUCGCAAAACUUGAAUUAGCAUGUUUCUCUCUAAGUGCCCUUUCAUUUGAACCCAUCCACUCGCCAACACUCCACAGUUUCUCAUAUGAAAUGAUAGCCUCAACAAGAAGUGCUCUAAUUUCACAAAUUGCUAAAACUGCAAUUUAAUCCCUCUAUGUUCAGAAUUUCAUACUAAAAAUUUACCACUAUGUGCAUCUCGCACAGAUGCACCUACUCGUGGAGUUUCACGCAAUUCGGCACAUGAAAUGUUGUACCUUUUCCAAAAAAACCCAAUUUGCCAAAAUGGCCAAUCUAUGAUGAGAACAGAUUUUCUUGAAAAUCGUGCAUCGGACGUAAAAUCCAUCAGUGCCAUUGGGUCUGACAUAGUCGGACCUUCAAAAAUGAGCUAUUGGAUCAUGCGAAAUAGAGUCUGGUACGCGACAGAAGCCAUCUACACUCAAUAGCCUCUUCCGAAAAUACAAGUUACUAUUCACUUUAAGUGAAAAGUAAUAUUCUCAUAAAAUCUUUAUUUUAAUUUAUUUUUUUUUGAAAUUUGAUGGAUAGUUUUAAGUUAAAAUAUAUAUGAUAACAUUUAAAAGGAUGUCAAAUUUAUAUAGAAAAAAAAUCUCAGUCCUCACACCUAUAAAAGAGGUUAUAGAGAUUAAAAAUGUUCGGUCCUCAAAUAAUGAUGUUGGUGACUUAGUGUCUGAAACUUUGUUGUAAUUUCUCAGUCGACCUUUUAAAUUAUUACAAUCCAGUCUGACAACCUAGUUUAGCUAAUUAAAUAUUGGCACAUUGUUGAUGCAAAAUUAAUGUAGCAUUUUAAUUAUUGGUGUAUAUAUCAUCGAUCACAAUAAUGUAUAUUACUUAUACAUCAGCGGUAUAUAAAUAUUUAGUCAUGUAAAUUAGGUUAUAGAACUUUAUUACAGCAAUUCUAAAAGUUCGAGUUAGAAGUCACAGUAAUUUAAAGUUUAAGGAUCAAAAUAUCAUCCACAUUAUAGUUUAAGGAUGGAAUGUGCAGUUACACUAAAUAGAAGUAAUACACGAUCAUAUAGAAGCUUUGCUUUACAAGUCUUAAAAUAUUAUACUUCUAUUCUAGGCUAAGUGAUGAAGUUUUGGAAGUGGUAGAGAAAAUUCUCUAUGGACCACUAAUUAAUACCGCGCAGGUUUACAAAUAUACCACUCUUAUUUGAGAGAGUGUUUUUCUUUGUGUGAAGGAUAUUGCAUGAGAUUAAUAGCAAGUCAAUUCUUUUCCGAACAUCAAACUAACUUUAAUUUGGAAAGAUAAAAAGAUAAAUCUUAGGAUUUAUUUGGCUCUACUGUAAAGUAUCAUAUUAUAUCUCAGAUAUUGAAGAAGAUUUAAAUCAAAAUUUUCUUUGGCCAGGCAUUUUAAUCUAGUGCUGUUAAAAAUAGUAAUGCAAAAUACAGAGUUGCAUCAUAGAAGAAUGCUUUAGAGCUGGUGUUUGGUUGAUUUUAUUGUAAAAGUAUUGUAAAGUGUAGAAAGAUAUUUGAUAAAUAUUCUGCUGAUGUGCUGUGGAGUGCUUAUAAAGUUAAAAUUACUAAAAUACCCAUCAUUCUAAUUUUCCAAAUAAUAAAAUUUUUAAAGGACAAAAUGCAAAAAAGAUAGGUCAAUUUGCAUAAAAAAUCCACUAGUUUUGUAAUUUUGCAAAAGUGGGCCGCUAUUUUGGUUUUGCAGAUUCAGGCCGAAUUUUCAACAAACUGACCAAAAUACCCUUCUUCCUUUCUCUUUCUUUUCUUUCCUUCGUUUUUUUUUUUUUUUUUCUCUUUUCAAUCCUCAUCACCUCCUCCACUAUCUCUGGCAAUGAUAGUGAGGGCGGCACCACUUCCUCUGUAAGGACUGAGACUUUUGCAGUGUAGCUAAACUCUCAGUUGACGAUGUUUUUGUGUGUAAUUUAAUUACAAAAGCACUCGUCAAAUUUCGGGAGAAAACGAGUUAAAACGGAAAUUCUACGCGAUUUCCAAGUUUCACUUAAAGUGAAUAGUAACUCGAUUUUCCGGAGAAGCCACGGUGUGAAGUUGGCUUCAGGCUCGUAUCAGACUCCGUUCCUAGCGGUCCAAUAGCUCGUUUCGACCGGUUCAGCUGUUCUGGAACUAAUGGAGCUGACGGAUUUUGAGUUCGACGCACGGAUUUCGAGAAAAUCCAAAAAUACAUAUUCUAUAUGUAUUUAGGUGUGUUUUCUUCUAUUGGUAGAAGGGUUGGAUUUUGUCGUGAAUCCGUAGUCGAUCGAGACGAAACGAGAUUGUAGCUUUGUUGUCUCCGUCGUGCUGAUCGUACUGGUACGAUCCGUUUGCAAAUCUGACGGACGGAUCUGCGGCAAUUGCAUGUUGUUCGAGGAGAGGUCGGUUGUGGCAAAACGGUAUUUUCGCAAAAGUCGCNAAUCAUAAUUUAGAAAAAUAGCAUAUUUUACUUAUGAAGCAAAUUUUCUUAUAAUAUAAAAAAAUAUCUUUGAAGGCCAAAUACGAAAUUGUUAUAUUACAACUGCGAUUACAUUUUCCUUGUCUAUUAAAUAUUAUAUACUACGUGAAUAAAUCGAUAUACUAAAUAAAAUAUUCAUACAUUCAGAAAGAUCAUAAGGAAUAUAUAUAAUAGGAAACAAUUAUUUCAUGCCCCAUGGAUAUUCGUAUAUUUUUAAUUUCAUGAUCGCUGCUCUAAUUCCAAAUUUAAUUAUAAGGAUUAAAUGCAUCACAACUAUCAAAAUUUUUUUCUUAUUUGCAAAUGGUCAUCUAAACUUAUAAAAUUUUCUAUGUUCCAUGUAGCAUUCAAAAUUUUGCACUUGGCCAUCUAGGUUUAUUUUUUAACAUAUUAAAGUGGGUAAUUUUAGCCACCUGAUCAAGAAAUUAUAAAGGACAAAUGCCGGCAAUAUACAAGAUUUAUUUGACAUCGAAAUUCAGUCUUAUGUGUUGGGAAUUUAAUGGUCGUUCUUCAUACGCUACCAACGCAGAUGCACAAAAAAAGAAAAAGAAAUAAAUGGUAAAAGAAAUAAAUGAAGAAACAAAAAUUUAAGAUUUAUGUGGUUUGACAAUUUUCUACAUCCAUGCGGAGAGCGAGAGAGAUAUAUUCCACUAUAUGAAGAAAUAAAAAAAAAGUACAAGCUUAAAGCUUAUAUUUUCUCUAGAUAAAAAAAAAUUAGGAGCCUUUUGGUGAUUCCCACUUUUCUCUUAUUCCAACAAAAACUCCUCCAAAUAUCAAAUAUCUCAUCUCAGCCCAAAACGAGCAGUUUUGGUUGCUCAGAACCCAUAUCCAGGCAUUCGAAACCUUUCAAACAGUGUCCUUCGGGUGCUUCCUCUCGCUGCCUUUCAUCAGUCCAAAUCUGGCAGUAAUUGCGCCCGGACCAAUUCGGUCGUCCGGAACCUGCGCUCGAAACCGUGCUGAGUCACCUGUA
Molecule: long non-coding RNA, 38295 nt
Filed under: Ananas comosus (pineapple)
Lineage: Eukaryota; Viridiplantae; Streptophyta; Magnoliopsida; Poales; Bromeliaceae
Description: long non-coding RNA (ACOM_LNC024456)
Source: RNAcentral